UGAGUACGAGAUGCUACGGCAUCGAAGCAGUCUAUGUCAUACUUCCAAGAAAAGCUUGCACUGUCAGAAACAGAUAAUGCCUGUACCAUAACCGACACAGGUGGGUAGGUAGAGUAUACUAAGGGGCGCGAGAUAACUCUCUCUAAGGAACUCGGCAAAAUGACUCCGUAACUUCGGGAGAAGGAGUGCCUUAUUUUUAAGGUUGCAAUAACAAGAUCCAAGCAACUGUUUACCAAAAACACAGGUCUCCGCUAAGUCGUAAGACGAUGUAUGGGGGCUGACGCCUGCCCAGUGCCAGAAGGUUAAAGAAGUCGGUUAGCAUUCGCGAAGCUGGUAACUGAAGCCCUGGUGAACGGCGGCCGUAACAAUAACGGUCCUAAGGUAGCGAAAUUCCUUGUCGGGUAAGUUCCGACCCGCACGAAAGGCGUAAUGAUUUGGAUACUGUCUCGGAGAGGGGCUCGGUGAAAUAGACUUGUCUGUGAAGAUGCGGACUACCUGCACCUGGACAGAAAGACCCUAUGAAGCUUUACUGUAACUUGAAAUUGAAAUUGGACUUUAUUUGCGCAGUAUAGGUGGGAGGCGUUGAAAAUAUUCUUGCGGGAAUAUUGGAGCCAUCAGUGAGAUACCACUCUUGUAAUGUUAGAUUUCUAACUUUAUAUCAUUAUCUGGUUAAAGAACAGUUUCAGGCGGGCAGUUUGACUGGGGCGGUCGCCUCCCAAAUGGUAACGGAGGCGCACAAAGGUUUCCUCUGAACGGGUAGAAAUCGUAUCUAGAGUGUAAAGGCAUAAGGAAGCUUGACUGUGAGACCUACAAGUCGAGCAGGGACGAAAGUCGGUCUUAGUGAUCUGACGGUGCUGAGUGGAAAGGCCGUCACUCAACGGAUAAAGCUACUCUAGGAUAACAGGCUAAUCUCCCCCAAGAGUUCACAUCGACGGGGAGGUUUGGCACCUCGAUGUCGGCUCAUCGCAUCCUGGGGCGGUAGUACGUCCCAAGGGUUGGGCUGUUCGCCCAUGAAAGCGGUACGCGAGCUGGGUUCAGAACGUCGUGAGACAGUUCGGUCCAUAUCCGGUGUAGGCGUUAGAAUAUUGAGAGGAGCCUUCUUUAGUACGAGAGGACCGAGAAGGACAUACCUCUGGUGUACCAGUUAUCGUGCCAACGGUAAACGCUGGGUAGCUAUAUAUGGAGUGGAUAACCGCUGAAAGCAUCUAAGUGGGAAGCCCACCUCAAGAUAAGUAUUCUCA
Molecule: ribosomal RNA, 1241 nt
Filed under: metagenome
Description: bacterial LSU rRNA
Rfam family: Bacterial large subunit ribosomal RNA
Source: RNAcentral